UUUCCGUAGGUGAACCUGCGGAAGGAUCAUUCAUAAUAAAGUGUUUUAUGGCACUUUCUAAAAAUCCAUAUCCACCUUGUGUGCAAUGUUAGAUCUCGUCAAUCUUGGCGAGAUUUUUAUACAUCAACUCAUUCUUUAACUAAUUUGUCUGAAAAAUAUUAUGAAUACUUAAUUCAAAAUACAACUUUCAACAACGGAUCUCUUGGCUCUC
RNAcentral lists this unclassified non-coding RNA (211 nucleotides) under plant metagenome. RNAcentral describes it as "partial contains small subunit ribosomal RNA, internal transcribed spacer 1, and 5.8S ribosomal RNA". The record is from RNAcentral.